AUUGAACGCUGGCGGCAUGCCUUACACAUGCAAGUCGAACGGUAACGCGGGGCAACCUGGCGACGAGUGGCGAACGGGUGAGUAAUGUAUCGGAACGUGCCCAGUUGUGGGGGAUAACUGCUCGAAAGAGCAGCUAAUACCGCAUACGACCUGAGGGUGAAAGCGGGGGAUCGCAAGACCUCGCGCAAUUGGAGCGGCCGAUAGCAGAUUAGGUAGUUGGUGAGGUAAAGGCUCACCAAGCCGACGAUCUGUAGCUGGUCUGAGAGGACGACCAGCCACACUGGGACUGAGACACGGCCCAGACUCCUACGGGAGGCAGCAGUGGGGAAUUUUGGACAAUGGACGCAAGUCUGAUCCAGCCAUGCCGCGUGCGGGAAGAAGGCCUUCGGGUUGUAAACCGCUUUUGUCAGGGAAGAAACGCUCUGGGUUAAUACCUCGGGGUAAUGACGGUACCUGAAGAAUAAGCACCGGCUAACUACGUGCCAGCCGCCGCCGUAA
RNAcentral lists this ribosomal RNA (498 nucleotides) under uncultured bacterium. RNAcentral's name for it is "partial 16S ribosomal RNA". It matches the Rfam family "Bacterial small subunit ribosomal RNA", at positions 29 to 523 of the family's 1533-position model. The record is from RNAcentral.